Molecule: transfer RNA, 74 nt
Filed under: Bacteriophage sp.
Also listed under: 2 other names
Description: tRNA-Met
Rfam family: tRNA
About the family: Transfer RNA (tRNA) molecules are approximately 80 nucleotides in length. Their secondary structure includes four short double-helical elements and three loops (D, anti-codon, and T loops).
Source: RNAcentral
GGACCAUUAGCUCAGUUGGUUAGAGCGUCCGGCUCAUAACCGGAUGGUCCGGGGUUCAAGUCCCUGAUGGUCCA